ACAGGACUCCACAUAAAUCCGAGAGGGUAAGAAGCGUGAUUUGAAGAGCCCGCGCCAGCCCGAGACCGAAGAUAGAAGGUGGCGCUCGUAAAUGAAUACGCUGAAGUGUCCUGUAGAAAAAGCGCCUUUCGAGCUGAUACGAGAGCUAUCAAUUUACGUAAGGAGGCAGUAUAUUCCCCUCAACAGCGGUGGGGCAUCCCUCUCCCUCUCUCUCUCUCUCUCUCUCUCGCGAACUGUCUAGUAUCCUGCCAAAAACAAGCAAAAGAAGAAUCUCUAUUAAUGGGUGGUACGGUUCUUCUAAGAUAGUUGAAAAUUCACGGAUAUCUAUUCACUACCAGUUUAGCUUUCAGUCCAUUCUAUCAUCAAGUGUUCGAUCUGGCCUGCCAGUCCAUUUUUGUCGAAGUUCAUAAGUUCUGGAUAUGUUCUCUAGCAAAACAUGUUUUGAAGUAAGCUACCGAAAAUGCAUCGGAAUUUCAAAUAAACAUUGGUGCUAUGCGUUCAAUUUUCUUGACUUAUACACGAUAGAUUUGGUUCUAUAAUAGACAAGGCAUUAGAAAAGUUUUGCCAACCUUGUUGUUUUAUUUACUGUGGCAACAAUCUGAAUCAUUAGAUCCAGUAGUCUGCGAAACAUCGGAGAGAAAAGUGUUGGCGUCACAUAAUCACUUGGCCUUCUAUUCCCUUCCCUCUUUACCUGAUUAGUUCAAAUCUGUUUUGACUUUUAUAUGUCACGCGCUAUAAUUGAUUUCAGGUACCGACUAAAAUAUGGAAUACAGAUUGGCUCAGGGAUUUGCUUUGACGGUAUUUGUCCCACUCAUGUGAAAGCUUCCAAGGAACUGUCCUUGAGCUUUCAGCUCCUUUGUUGCCUAGGUUUUUUUCUUUUACUCGAACCUUCAUAUGUUUAUGCAUUGUCCCUAAUUUAUCAAUCAGUCUAUGUACAUAUGCUAGCGUUGUGCUCACUAUGGUUUUGGCAAGCAACUCUUUUGCUGUACUUGGCUCUUGGGUUUGUUCUUGUCCCUAUAAGCUGGAUAUCAAAAGCUGAUUUGAUUGUGAAACUAGCAAUCUGUCCUUCAGCACAAUUCAAACAUGGCUGAACACGCCGUACAUAGUGUUGGCGCGAGCUGUAAUUCCCUUAUUUGUGGAG
Molecule: long non-coding RNA, 1141 nt
Filed under: Eucalyptus grandis
Lineage: Eukaryota; Viridiplantae; Streptophyta; Magnoliopsida; Myrtales; Myrtaceae
Description: long non-coding RNA (EGRA_LNC005276)
Source: RNAcentral